Molecule: long non-coding RNA, 603 nt
Organism: Brassica rapa (field mustard)
Lineage: Eukaryota; Viridiplantae; Streptophyta; Magnoliopsida; Brassicales; Brassicaceae
Source: RefSeq, a predicted model, not a curated record
CUGAUACUACACAGGAAGAUGAUAAGAUCACCAUUUAGCCUGUCCACGUAGGAUCAGAAAUUCAAGCCAAUCAAAUUGUCUUAAGAUGCCAUGUCAGAUUAGUAAAAAAAAACAACUUUACGAUGGCUAAUCCUUGUUUUCUCCUGCGCUUUUCCAAUGUCUCUAUCCAGCUUCUCAGUUCCAAGUUUUCUCCAUUAAUUUGUCCAACUUUCUGUAAACAAGUGUAUCUCUUAAAAAUAUCCUUCAUUCGAGAUUGAGGUGUAACCUGAGCUCCAAAAAGAGUUGUUUCAUCUUCUUCCUUAUCCAUCCGCAGAGAUACCGGUUACAGAUUAACCCUCUUCAAUUAUUUCUUAAAUACAUACCCCAUGAUCUCUUACUCCACUGUUCUUGAAGGCCUGCCGUUGUAACUUCCUAAAAGAUGAAGAUUUCAUUAGCCAACCUCAAUUAGGGUUAUCUCCUAAAUAUCUUCAAUCCUUAUGAUGACUCUUGCAGAGAAAAUUGAUUAGGCAUUCCAAAGGUGAGGAAAUCUAAACCUGAUUUCAUACUCCCGUGCUAACAACAACAUUGAUCCCUCCAAGGAGAGUUAGGUCCUUCAAGCUUUAU